CCUACGGGUGGCAGCAGUGAGGAAUAUUGGUCAAUGGGCGCGAGCCUGAACCAGCCAAGUCGCGUGAAUGAUGACUGCCCUACGGGUUGUAAACUUCUUUUAUAAAGGAAUAAAGUCAGGCACGUGUGCCUUUUUGUAUGUACUUUAUGAAUAAGGAUCGGCUAACUCCGUGCCAGCAGCCGCGGUAAUACGGAGGAUCAGAGCUUUAUCCGGAUUUAUUGGGUUUAACGGGAGCGUAGAUGGGUUGUUAAGUCAGAUGUGAAAGUUUGCGGCUCAACCGUAACAUUGCAUUUGAUACUGGCAGCCUUGAGUGCAGUGGAGGUAGGCGGAAUUGGUGGUGUAGCGGUGAAAUGCUUAGAGAUCAGGAAGAACUCCGAUGGCGAAGGCAGCUUACUAAACUGCCACUGACAUUGAUGCUCGAAAGUGUGGGGAGCAAACAGGAUUAGAUACCCGGGUAGUC
This 460-nucleotide ribosomal RNA is filed under the name uncultured bacterium. Its description in RNAcentral is "partial 16S ribosomal RNA". It matches the Rfam family "Bacterial small subunit ribosomal RNA", at positions 338 to 795 of the family's 1533-position model. The record is from RNAcentral.